AACGCACAUUGCGCCCAUUAGUAUUCUAUUGGGCAUGCCUGUUCGAGCGUCAUUUCAACCCUUAAGCCUCUGUUGCUUAGUGUUGGGAGCCUACGGAAACGUAGCUCCCCAAAGUUAGUGGCGGAGUCGGCUCGCACUCUAGACGUAGUAGAAUUCUUUUAUCUCGCCUGUAGUGUGUGCCGUCCCCCUGCCGUAAAACCCCCCAAUUUUUUAAAGGUUGACCUCGGAUCAGGUAGGAAUACCCGCUGAACUUAA
This 255-nucleotide unclassified non-coding RNA is filed under the name uncultured fungus. RNAcentral describes it as "partial contains 5.8S ribosomal RNA, internal transcribed spacer 2, and large subunit ribosomal RNA". The record is from RNAcentral. Lineage: Eukaryota; Fungi.